AAUAAAUGCAGUUAGGUUUUGUGAGGCUACAGGAAAGAAUCUCAAUCGCUAAUACUCACAGAGAAGCAACGAUGAAGCUGGAAAUGAGUAUAGUUAUACUGCUGUGUGUUUGGCCCACACUGGCACAGGAUUUAUUCACACCGACAUUAGAUAUCCUUAAAGAACUCAGAAAGAUUAAAACUAUGGAUUGAAAACUAAGAUUAAAAAGGUUAAAUGCUUCAAAUGAUGAAGUCAGGGAACUAAGAAGCAAGAAUGAAGAAAGGGCAAAAGUAGCUUUUUCAGCCACACCGUCUUCUUCACUGGGCUCUAAAUAUUUUGGACCUCAUGCAGAAGCAGCCACUCUUGCGUAUGAAAAUGCAUUUACUAACAUUGGAAAUGCUUAUGACACUAAUACAGGAAUCUUCACUGCAUCAGUAAAAGGGGUUUAUUUCUUCAACUUUGUGGUGUUCAAUCCUGAUGAAGAACCAACCGCUGUGAGACUGCUAAAAAAUGGCAAUCCUGUGGUCACAGCAUCAGAUAAUGCUCCUGGGCAAGA
Molecule: long non-coding RNA, 535 nt
Organism: Carassius carassius (crucian carp)
Lineage: Eukaryota; Metazoa; Chordata; Actinopteri; Cypriniformes; Cyprinidae
Exons: 3
Source: RefSeq, a predicted model, not a curated record